Molecule: ribosomal RNA, 253 nt
Filed under: uncultured bacterium
Lineage: Bacteria
Description: partial 16S ribosomal RNA
Rfam family: Bacterial small subunit ribosomal RNA
Source: RNAcentral
UACGUAGGGUGCAAGCGUUGUCCGGAAUUAUUGGGCGUAAAGAGCUCGUAGGCGGCUUGUCACGUCGGGUGUGAAAGACCGGGGCUUAACUCCGGUUCUGCAUUCGAUACGGGCUAGCUAGAGUGUGGUAGGGGAGAUCGGAAUUCCUGGUGUAGCGGUGAAAUGCGCAGAUAUCAGGAGGAACACCGGUGGCGAAGGCGGUUCUCUGGGCAUUACCUGACGCUGAGGAGCGAAAGUGUGGGGAGCGAACAGG